This 1240-nucleotide long non-coding RNA is filed under the name Nicotiana benthamiana. RNAcentral's name for it is "long non-coding RNA (NBEN_LNC029340)". Lineage: Eukaryota; Viridiplantae; Streptophyta; Magnoliopsida; Solanales; Solanaceae. The record is from RNAcentral.
CCGAUACAUAUAUAAAGAAAAAAUUGCAAAAACUGGUCUUGAAUGUUUGAAGCAAACGCCUAUUCCUUAAGUUGGAAGCUUUGUACUUUUCUACGAAGCUCCCUCUGGAGUUAUUACCCAUGAGAAACGACUCAUUGCGUUUGCCCCGCGUAUGAGAAGAGAAGUGGGCUUUUUAAUAUUUUAAUUCCAGUGUCAACUCUACCGCCUAUGUGUUGCCACGUCUGAUGAUUUGUCCUAUUGGAUUAGAACUGUAUUUAAACGAUAGGAACAAAACGAUUCUUCUAAAAUUAGCUAAAAUCUGCGAGCAACUAGCCCCCCUUUCUUUCCCUAAAAAAAAAGUUUCUGUGUUAUAGCUAAUCUCCCUUCUCUUCAUACAAUCAUCAAUUAUACAAACAAAACAAAAAAAACGCAGGUUAAUUUCACAAGGUAUGCAGUUCUCUUGAUUUCUUGAUUUGAAUUUCAUUUUUAUCCCCAAAGAUUUUCAUCUUUUUGAUCAAUAAUCAUUAUAUGAUCAAGUGGGUGUGAUUGAAUUUGCUAAUUGAGUAGUGGGUAAUCAUUAGUUUUCUCAAUUCAGGUGAAAGAAGAAGAUGGGUCAUCACCACCACCAUCAUCACCACCACCACGAAGGAAGCAGUCCAUAUGAUGAUCCAUUUUUGGCAUGUUGUUGCUGCCCUUGUUUGCUACUCUCCUCUGUUUUCUCUAUGUUUAGCAGGUGUAUCUUUAUGGCCUGUUAUCCUUUUCUGCAGUGUCUUGGAUGGGAUGAACACAGACACCAUCAUCACCACCACCACAGCCAUUUCUGUUAAUCCCAAAUUAAAGAACUUGUUUGUUUGAGUCUUCUACUUUUGUUCGAUUUCAGAGGAUUGUUAGUGUUUCAGUUUGGUUGUUGUGUAUACUUUAUCUUGUACCUGCUAGUUUACUUUUGAGUUAUUGUUUGUUCACUCCGAGUCCAAAGGGGAAGAAAAAUAGAAUCUUUUCAACCAUUUGCUGUCGUUUUCAUAUGUUUUGCUUUUCUUUUUUGGGAAUUUGUGAUUCAAAAUCAAGGAUAGUAGUCCUUCAGAUUUUGGAGAAUCAUAAUGAUGAUUGUGAAUCUCCAACUUCCCCAUAUUAGUUGGAGUUAAAAGGAGAAAUAUAACUAAGAAAUGUUGUCUGACUGCUAAUGAAAUACAAAAUCUUGCCACCAAAUUACAAGCUCUGACACAAACGGUACGCUCCGUGGUGGAAUGAGACAGACUACUAC